CCUACGGGAGGCAGCAGUGGGGAAUAUUGGGCAAUGGGCGCAAGCCUGACCCAGCAACGCCGCGUGAAGGAAGAAGGCUUUCGGGUUGUAAACUUCUUUUCUCAGGGACGAAGCAAGUGACGGUACCUGAGGAAUAAGCCACGGCUAACUACGUGCCAGCAGCCGCGGUAAUACGUAGGUGGCAAGCGUUAUCCGGAUUUACUGGGUGUAAAGGGCGUGUAGGCGGGAAAGCAAGUCAGAUGUGAAAACCAUGGGCUCAACCUGUGGCCUGCAUUUGAAACUGUUUUUCUUGAGUGCUGGAGAGGCGAUCGGAAUUCCGUGUGUAGCGGUGAAAUGCGUAGAUAUACGGAGGAACACCAGUGGCGAAGGCGGAUUGCUGGACAGUAACUGACGCUGAGGCGCGAAAGCGUGGGGAGCAAACAGGAUUAGAUACCCGAGUAGUC
RNAcentral lists this ribosomal RNA (443 nucleotides) under uncultured bacterium. Its description in RNAcentral is "partial 16S ribosomal RNA". It matches the Rfam family "Bacterial small subunit ribosomal RNA", at positions 338 to 795 of the family's 1533-position model. The record is from RNAcentral.